Molecule: unclassified non-coding RNA, 302 nt
Filed under: uncultured fungus
Lineage: Eukaryota; Fungi
Description: partial contains small subunit ribosomal RNA, internal transcribed spacer 1, and 5.8S ribosomal RNA
Rfam family: Eukaryotic small subunit ribosomal RNA (bases 1-73)
Source: RNAcentral
UCAAACUUGGUCAUUUAGAGGAAGUAAAAGUCGUAACAAGGUUUCCGUAGGUGAACCUGCGGAAGGAUCAUUAGUGAAAACAGUCUUGGAUGAUGCUGGCACUCGUUUGCAGGUGCACUCCUUGAACUUUCUGACCCCCUUAUUCACACCUUUGUGCACGACCCAGUAGGUUGGUCAAACAAAGCCAGCCUAUGUUUUUCAUCUCAACACACCUUUUUAUAUGUUGGUGAAUGUACAUUUUAUUAAAUGAAACAACUUUCAACAAUGGAUCUCUUGGUUCUCGCAUCGAUGAAGAACGCAGC